Molecule: small RNA, 22 nt
Filed under: Arabidopsis thaliana (thale cress)
Lineage: Eukaryota; Viridiplantae; Streptophyta; Magnoliopsida; Brassicales; Brassicaceae
Description: ATSL126340
Source: RNAcentral
AAAAACAAGAAGAAGAAGAAAC